CUUUUAUUUUUCAAAAAAAAAAAAAGUAAAAAAUUUAUUUCAGUCAACUGUUCACCAUGCAUUAUAUCGGCUUGAGGCAUUGGUUGUUUGAUACCUUGUAUGAAUAUUUAGUAACUACCACAAACUAAAGAAAAUUUUCCUUCCGCCAAAUUUUGUAAAAAAUAUUCAUACAAGGUAUCAAACAACCAAUGCCUCAAGCCGAUAUAACCUAUUAAGAAAUCAACUCAAAUACCCUCCCUUAAGCAAGCUGCAAACGGCUGUGUAAUAUACAUGCAAAAAGAAUUGCCGCUAUCAUGAGCCAUACCAGAAUGCAUCUGGAUUUGUUUGUCUGGCUCUGCUCUGUCCUGCUUAGCUCCAAUAUCACCUACUUCAAACCAUGAAAAAAAUACACCAGAACAAAGAAACAUUGCACUUAACGAAUUGGGUGAUAUUGUGCUGAUAUUCUCUUGGGAGGCAACUUCCGCAGGAUGUAGAGCACUAGAGCUGAGGGUAGAAUCUCAACCAGCAUGUAAUAGAUCACAUUCAAAACUGGAUGGUCCAAAACAUCAAGUGAUGCAUCUGAAUCAAAAGCAGAAAGAAGAACCACAAAACAUCUUAUAAGGAAGCACGUGAAACAUAUAGCUGUAACUGAUCCAACCUCAUGGAGCUUCUUUCUUCUCCCUUUAGAUUCAAUAGGGAAGCGUCUCAGCAUGAAAAAUAAUCUUCCUCCAUACAACAAGAAACCCAAUGCAGCUAUAAUUGAUACCACUGCAAUAAAGAUCUUUCCAAUGAAUUCAACAACGCUGUUGUCAUCUAUCCAUAGGUAUACCCAGAUGCAAACCUGCAAGAAGUAAAUUCCACCAUUGACUAAAAUAUAAACAAUUCUGAGCUUAUCAGUUGGCAAACUUCUUGCCUGGUGAUAUAUCUCUGCCCAAAAUAGGACAAGCAGGGUGUAAGUAGAAAAGAAGAGAAGUCCCGGGAGAUCCAAUAAUACCAAUGUUAGCACCUUGGGAUGCAAAACAAACACUUGCUUGUGAAAUCCAAACAAAAUUGCACGAACUCCAUUCACAAUGAAGUUCAUAAGGUG
Molecule: unclassified non-coding RNA, 1066 nt
Filed under: Hevea brasiliensis (rubber tree)
Lineage: Eukaryota; Viridiplantae; Streptophyta; Magnoliopsida; Malpighiales; Euphorbiaceae
Source: RNAcentral